CUACCUAGGUCGGUAAUGGGUCCGUAGGAGAUUGGUUUUCGGAUCUUUUCCGGGUUGUUACUUUCGGUUCUCACAUCUGAACCGCGCCCAACCCGCUUCAGGGCCUAUUUUUAAGUACACGCGGAGGGAAAGCCAAGCGUUUGGAACGCCAAGCGUCGGCGGAGAGCUGCCUUGGCCGAGUGCUGCGCGGCGGUGCCUCAGCUUGACUCCUCCGGCGUAGGGCAGGCGAUUCAUCUUGGCGUGGCCGUGGAGAAGGGAAGGGCGUAGCAACCCCGAUGACGGAGGGAAAGACGAAGGCUUCGGCGUCGACGGUGCGUCGAUCCGCCCUUCGUGGUUGGUUUUUAUGGUCUUCUCCUUUCGAUUCGGCAAAUGAGAACCUCCUUGUCUGCCCUUUUGCUUACCACGCUUGGAUCCUCGCGGCUGAGGGGAGUCCACCUCGACAUCCUUGGAGUUGAGGACAUCUUUUCCAUAAGUAAACCAAGUCGGCUCCAGUAAUCCAUGGACAAAAACCAUCUCAAUCUGCCCUCAGCAGCUCACAAGGCAUGAAGAAGCCUAAGGAAGAAGGAGACAAAGGCGUGGUUUGGCCUGAUGCUCUCUCUACCUUCAUCUUCCAGGCAUGAAGAAGCCUAAGGAAGAAGGAGACAAACGCGUGGUUUGGCCUGAUGCUCUCUCGACCUUCAUCUUCCAGUUGCUUCUUGUCAUGGCAACGGAAUGCAGCAAGAAAGCUGAGAAUAAAGUGACGAUUGCUACAGUGGUGGGUACGGAUUCUAUUUUCUUUGUUGUCUCUCACAAUACCAACAUUUCCAUGGAGCCCUUUGCACUAAAAGGGCAUUUUCUAUGGUCUCGAUUACACGUAACAGGGUAGCAAUCUUCCAUGUUACUAGUGGCCCAUCAUUCGCAA
Musa acuminata AAA Group (dessert banana) is the source of this 901-nucleotide long non-coding RNA. RefSeq lists it as uncharacterized. The transcript has 3 exons. The record is from RefSeq and is a predicted model, not a curated record. NCBI's taxonomy places the organism in Eukaryota, Viridiplantae, Streptophyta, Magnoliopsida, Zingiberales, Musaceae.